GAUGAAGAACGCAGCGAAAUGCGAUAAGUAAUGUGAAUUGCAGAAUUCAGUGAAUCAUCGAAUCUUUGAACGCACAUUGCGCCCGCCAGUAUUCUGGCGGGCAUGCCUGUUCGAGCGUCAUUUCAACCAUCAAGCCCCCGGCUUGUGUUGGGGACCUGCGGCUGCCGCAGGCCCUGAAAACCAGUGGCGGGCUCGCUGUCACACCGAGCGUAGUAGAUUUUCAUCUCGCUCAGGGCGUGCUGCGGGUUCCGGCCGUAAAAAGCCUUAUUUACCCAAGGUUGACCUCGGAUCAGGUAGGAAGACCCGCUGAACUUAAGCAUAUCAAUAAGGGAGGA
This 335-nucleotide unclassified non-coding RNA is filed under the name soil metagenome. RNAcentral describes it as "partial contains 5.8S ribosomal RNA, internal transcribed spacer 2, and large subunit ribosomal RNA". The stretch from base 1 to 120 matches the Rfam family "5.8S ribosomal RNA", at positions 35 to 154 of the family's 154-position model. The record is from RNAcentral.